This 253-nucleotide ribosomal RNA is filed under the name uncultured bacterium. RNAcentral's name for it is "partial 16S ribosomal RNA". It matches the Rfam family "Bacterial small subunit ribosomal RNA", at positions 524 to 776 of the family's 1533-position model. The record is from RNAcentral.
UACGGGGGGUGCAAGCGUUGUUCGGAAUUACUGGGCUUAAAGGGCUCGUAGGUGGCCUACUAAGUCAGAGGUGAAAUCCCCAGGCUUAACCUGGGAACUGCGUCUGAUACUGGAUGGCUAGAGUGUGGGAGAGGGAUGCGGAAUUCCAGGUGUAGCGGUGAAAUGCGUAGAUAUCUGGAGGAACACCGGUGGCGAAGGCGGCAUCCUGGACCAACACUGACGCUGAGGAGCGAAAGCCAGGGGAGCAAACGGG